RNAcentral lists this long non-coding RNA (1659 nucleotides) under Homo sapiens (human). Its description in RNAcentral is "HSALNT0238621". The record is from RNAcentral. Lineage: Eukaryota; Metazoa; Chordata; Mammalia; Primates; Hominidae.
UGGACACCCCCAUCCUCUGGUCAGGGGUCUUAGGGAGUACUCACUUUACAGCAGCAACAGCAAUAGCAAUAAUAACAGCGUGGCUGCCACUUCCUGAGCACUUACUAAGUGCCAGGCACUGCCCUAGGAGCUUACUCCUGGGAGGCAGGGGCCGUUCCCAUUUCCAUUUUACAGGGGAGAAAACAGAAGCACAGAGAGGGUGAAAGACUCACUUUCUAGGCCAGCAAGUAGAAGGGCCAGGGAUUAGACUCUAUGCACCUGGACCCUUCACUGCUAGGGAAACCAAGGCCAGAGAGAGGAAAGGGCCCACCCUGAUGCCCCAGCACUGGAAUAGAAGAGCCAGGAUCAGAAAUGCCAGGUGCCACCGAGGACAGAGGAAUGAAGGUGGGGUCCCACGUCCCGUGCAUGUUCCCUUAGCUCCCUGGGCCUCUGUUUCUCUGUCUGUAAAGUAGAGAUGCUAACGGCACCUGCCCCAGAUAAUGGGUUUGAAGAUUAAUUGUUAAUGCACACAAAGCACUUAGGAGACAGCCUGCAUGCAGUAGGUGCCUGGUGCAGCCGCUGUCACCACUCUGCUGGGGCCCUGGGGCUGUAGUGCUGGCACUGGGUCUCUGGCGAGGCAGUGGGCAGCUGGGACAUCCCCACAGUUUACAAGAGAUAGCCUUGAGGUAGGACCCGCUCACCCAAGUCCGGCAGAGAGGACAGCCAGGCUUACAUGACUGACUGCUCGGCGUCUACCCACACACCAACCUGGUGUCCCCUCACUGAGCUCCCUGGCCUGGUUGCUCAUUGCGUGGGCCUCAGCCAAGGCUGGCCAGCCUGGCAGGAUGAGGCAUGUGGCUCGAACCCUUGGGGAUGCCCCCUUGGUGGCAGGGAGGGCCUGCCCAGAAGGGACUCUCUGUUUAUGGGUGUCACUGGCCAAGAAGCUGGCAGUGCUGACAAAUCUCGUGUGGUCCUCAUGCUGUGCAGGGCUUGUUCUCAAUGCUUUAUGCCUAACUGACAGGGCAGGGAACAGCAGCAGCCCAUUCUGCAGAUGGCAAAACUGAGCUGAGAGGCAAAGUUCCACAGCUGGUGAGCCACAGGGACCCAGAGGCUGCACCUUGACCACCACCUAUGAGAAUUAGACACAACAGUGGUCAUACCUCUGGAGCCCACACCAUGAGCCAGGCGUUGUUCUCACAGACUCAUUCCAUCUUCACAAUACCCUACGGGGUAGUGGCGAUUACUACCUGAAUUUUACAGAGACUCCAGGUGCAGAAAGAUUCUGGUGCUGGAAGCUUCCUAGAGGACUGGUCUCUAUCCCCUUCCCAGAGGGCUCCUGCCUGUGUGGAGAGAUGAUGGCUCCCCACCACUGCCACCUCCCCCACACCCCUGCCCACCCACGUCUCCCGCUCCCCGGGCUCACAGUCUGGGUAGAGGCUGUUUCAAACAGAAGACCAAGCAUCUGCGGGAAUCCAGACCAGACCCUAAGCCAGCUCCAGAGGGCUUCCUGGGGGAGAAGAGUUUUGACAAGAGUAUCCAAGGCAGAAGAAACAGCCUGGGCAAAAGCCUGGAGGUGGGGAAAUUGAGACCUCCUGGAGGCUGAGGAAGGCUGGAGGGAGGGAGGAGAACAAAGGGCCUUAACCAGCCAUCAGGUGAGGGCAGCUAGGCCUUCCCCAGGGC